AAAGUUAUUUUCCUCUUUGUUGAUUCCCUGGCAUUUCCUCCCCUAACCUCAACUCCACAGGAGCACCAAUUACCUUCACAUGUGAUGGGAUUCACUUACCUGGGGAGGAGUGGAGAGAGGAGGAAUCUACCCUGGUACUCCAGUAACAAACCCUGGCAUGGACAGUGGAAGCGGGACCUCCACUGCGAGUAGAUCUCAUUAGCAUCAGCUGCUCCCAGCAUAAAAACAGCACAAUUUUCUUCCCAAGGCAUCUCUCUGAUCAUUAGUGAUAGCUCCACGGGACUGAGUGUACAUGAUUCUAACCAGUAAAGGAGAACUUGGGAAGUGUUGCUGUCUGAUACCAUGAACUGGAGAGGAAGAAGUUCUGCUUUGGGAAUGUUAGAAACCUCUCCUGUUAACAGGGUAGCUUCCGCACGUAUCUGCAGCUAGAGUAUUUGGAGCGAGCUAAUGCUUUGGCCCGACAGAAAGAGGUUUCCUCCCUGCUGCCUGCUGCGCUGCGGAGGCUGUCAUAUGGGGGUCCCGUGCUGCGCAUCCUCUCUAUGCCUGACGACACCUUAAUCAUGAUCAGAGAAGAUGGAGCUAUUUAUUUCUGGUCCCUGCAGCUGAAGUUGAAAAGAAGAAAGCGGGUCUUUGUAUGUGAUUUUCAUUUGAUAAGGAUGCUGAGUGCUACAGUUUGAUUUUAUUUGCUAUUUUAAACUGCUUCUUAAGUGGUGUGAUUACAUAAAUUGUGUCCUUGAAUAUAAUAUAUUCAUGCUGGAUUUUGCUAGUCUGUAGAAUGCAAAUAAAAUAUGAUCUCUCUAUGUAGUGCAAGAUAAAGC
RNAcentral lists this long non-coding RNA (818 nucleotides) under Rhinopithecus bieti (black snub-nosed monkey). RNAcentral's name for it is "lncRNA (ENSRBIG00000045877.1)". Lineage: Eukaryota; Metazoa; Chordata; Mammalia; Primates; Cercopithecidae. The record is from RNAcentral.